UGGGGGGGAUCAGAUGAACACGGACCGUCUGUCUGUGUUCACCCGAUCCGAUGACGGAUGGGAAAAUAGGGUUUUCCGCCGUCUGCAGAAUCAGAAGAUUGCAAAAACGGAUGAGAUCGGGUGUCGGCGGACCCGCAAUCUCAUAGGGACCAAUGUAUGUCCCUUUUUUAUCUGUAAACAGAUGGAUGAAAAAGCGGACAUACGGUCCACCCGUGUGAAAGAGCCCUAAGACGUAUUAGAGGUGUGCACUGGAUAUGUUGGUGGAUCUGAUGCUUGUGUGACUCCAAGCUGUGCUCCCCUUGGCACAGGGAUGCACUUCUGCUGGGUGAAUGAAUGGUCUGGCAGCAUCAAAGUACCUUAAAUGCUGCUGAUUUUGGAAUACUGCUGCAUAAACUGAAGGCUUUACCAAAUUCAAACCUGUACUGAGCCAUUCUACUCCUAUUGCUUUACUAUGAAAGCUUUUAAACUAGCGGUUUUGGAAAGGGAGAGUUAAUAGAGGCAUUGAGAGCUCUUUCAAAGCCUGGGUGAACAAGGCUGGGAAGGUGUGUAGAGAGCCCCCCAAUAAAUCACAGGUGGAGAAGGUGUGUAGAGAGCCCCUCAAUAAAUCACAGGUGAACAAGGCUGCAAAGGUGUGGUGAGAGCCCUCUAAUAAAUAACAGGUUAACUAGGCUGGGAAGUUGUGUUGAGGGGCCCCUAAUAAAUCACAGAUGAGCAAGACUGA
This is a long non-coding RNA of Rana temporaria (common frog), 721 nucleotides long. RefSeq lists it as uncharacterized. The transcript is spliced from 2 exons. NCBI's taxonomy places the organism in Eukaryota, Metazoa, Chordata, Amphibia, Anura, Ranidae. The record is from RefSeq and is a predicted model, not a curated record.